RNAcentral lists this transfer RNA (88 nucleotides) under Blastochloris sp. Its description in RNAcentral is "tRNA-Ser". It matches the Rfam family "tRNA". Rfam says of the family: Transfer RNA (tRNA) molecules are approximately 80 nucleotides in length. Their secondary structure includes four short double-helical elements and three loops (D, anti-codon, and T loops). Lineage: Bacteria; Pseudomonadati; Pseudomonadota; Alphaproteobacteria; Hyphomicrobiales; Blastochloridaceae. The record is from RNAcentral.
GGAGGGAUGGCCGAGUGGUUUAAGGCAGUGGUCUUGAAAACCACCGUGCCGCUUUGCGGUACCGUGGGUUCGAAUCCCACUCCCUCCG